UACGAAGGGGGCUAGCGUUGCUCGGAAUCACUGGGCGUAAAGGGUGCGUAGGCGGGGCUUUAAGUCAGGGGUGAAAUCCUGGAGCUCAACUCCAGAACUGCCUUUGAUACUGAAGAUCUUGAGUGCGGGAGAGGUGAGUGGAACUGCGAGUGUAGAGGUGAAAUUCGUAGAUAUUCGGAAGAACACCAGUGGCGAAGGCGACUUACUGGACACAUAUUGACGCUGAGGUGCGAAAGCGUGGGGAGCAAACAGG
Molecule: ribosomal RNA, 253 nt
Filed under: uncultured bacterium
Lineage: Bacteria
Description: partial 16S ribosomal RNA
Rfam family: Bacterial small subunit ribosomal RNA
Source: RNAcentral